RNAcentral lists this small nuclear RNA (295 nucleotides) under Propithecus coquereli (Coquerel's sifaka). RNAcentral describes it as "7SK RNA (ENSPCOG00000010817.1)". It matches the Rfam family "7SK RNA". From Rfam's summary of the family: 7SK was discovered as an abundant small nuclear RNA in the mid-70s but a possible function has only recently been suggested. Two independent studies have found that 7SK RNA binds the CDK9/cyclin T complex (known as elongation factor P-TEFb). P-TEFb activates transcription by phosphorylating the C-terminal domain of RNA polymerase II. Lineage: Eukaryota; Metazoa; Chordata; Mammalia; Primates; Indriidae. The record is from Rfam by way of RNAcentral.
GGGUGUGAGGAUAUUCCCACAGUGACAUCUGUGGCCCCAAGGAUUGCCAGGGUGGGUUGCUGGGCGGGUGUCUCCUCUCUCUCAUGCUGCUCUGUUCAUGCCACCUCUUAAACUGUGGGACAGAUGUACAGGGAGCCAAGGGGAAGGAAGACAACCUUCUCUGCUAGAGAAGGCAUGGUCUUUAGUCAAGGCUGCCCGAGUAGCUGUGUACUCUGCAAGAGUCUCAUGACUGCCUGGGCCCUGGUUUCUUUAUCUGUACCACAGGAAGAUUAGGCAGAGGCUCUUUGUCUUGUUU